CCCAGCUCCCCGCUACUUUUUAUAACCAGCUUUAUUUGAGAUCUUACUACACAGUCAGAGAAUAAUCCCACCCACGUCCUCUGCCCCAAGGUAGCUGCAACAAGGAGAAAGACAAAGCGACUCCAUCAAAUUCAUUUCUGGGUUCCAGACGCUGAGCACACACCUGGAAUGGGUUACGCUACUCGUAUUUCAAGGGGCUACCAUAUCAGACCACUGCCAACAUCAUGGAAGGUUCUGUGGGACCGCAUGACACGAGAUGAUCAUGGAGUCAACCUCGGGAUGGAGGGAAAGUGAGACUGAAAGGGACCAGGGGACCCUCCCCAGGUCACACAGCCUGAGGAGCCCCGCUCUGCAGACUCUGAGCUCCCUGCCCACACAGAACCUCCCGUUCCAAGGAGUUAUUAAACCUCCAGGAGCCCAAAGUCAAAUUGAAGAAGGU
RNAcentral lists this long non-coding RNA (439 nucleotides) under Capra hircus (goat). RNAcentral's name for it is "lncRNA (ENSCHIG00000005298.1)". Lineage: Eukaryota; Metazoa; Chordata; Mammalia; Artiodactyla; Bovidae. The record is from RNAcentral.